Molecule: ribosomal RNA, 1164 nt
Filed under: Pediococcus pentosaceus
Lineage: Bacteria; Bacillati; Bacillota; Bacilli; Lactobacillales; Lactobacillaceae
Description: bacterial SSU rRNA
Rfam family: Bacterial small subunit ribosomal RNA
Source: RNAcentral
AUANUGCAGUCGAACGAACUUCCGUUAAUUGAUUAUGACGUACUUGUACUGAUUGAGAUUUUAACACGAAGUGAGUGGCGAACGGGUGAGUAACACGUGGGUAACCUGCCCAGAAGUAGGGGAUAACACCUGGAAACAGAUGCUAAUACCGUAUAACAGAGAAAACCGCAUGGUUUUCUUUUAAAAGAUGGCUCUGCUAUCACUUCUGGAUGGACCCGCGGCGUAUUAGCUAGUUGGUGAGGUAAAGGCUCACCAAGGCAGUGAUACGUAGCCGACCUGAGAGGGUAAUCGGCCACAUUGGGACUGAGACACGGCCCAGACUCCUACGGGAGGCAGCAGUAGGGAAUCUUCCACAAUGGACGCAAGUCUGAUGGAGCAACGCCGCGUGAGUGAAGAAGGGUUUCGGCUCGUAAAGCUCUGUUGUUAAAGAAGAACGUGGGUAAGAGUAACUGUUUACCCAGUGACGGUAUUUAACCAGAAAGCCACGGCUAACUACGUGCCAGCAGCCGCGGUAAUACGUAGGUGGCAAGCGUUAUCCGGAUUUAUUGGGCGUAAAGCGAGCGCAGGCGGUCUUUUAAGUCUAAUGUGAAAGCCUUCGGCUCAACCGAAGAAGUGCAUUGGAAACUGGGAGACUUGAGUGCAGAAGAGGACAGUGGAACUCCAUGUGUAGCGGUGAAAUGCGUAGAUAUAUGGAAGAACACCAGUGGCGAAGGCGGCUGUCUGGUCUGCAACUGACGCUGAGGCUCGAAAGCAUGGGUAGCGAACAGGAUUAGAUACCCUGGUAGUCCAUGCCGUAAACGAUGAUUACUAAGUGUUGGAGGGUUUCCGCCCUUCAGUGCUGCAGCUAACGCAUUAAGUAAUCCGCCUGGGGAGUACGACCGCAAGGUUGAAACUCAAAAGAAUUGACGGGGGCCCGCACAAGCGGUGGAGCAUGUGGUUUAAUUCGAAGCUACGCGAAGAACCUUACCAGGUCUUGACAUCUUCUGACAGUCUAAGAGAUUAGAGGUUCCCUUCGGGGACAGAAUGACAGGUGGUGCAUGGUUGUCGUCAGCUCGUGUCGUGAGAUGUUGGGUUAAGUCCCGCAACGAGCGCAACCCUUAUUACUAGUUGCCAGCAUUAAGUUGGGCACUCUAGUGGAACUGCCGGUGACAAACCGGAGAAAGU